GUAACGAUGACACCAGCGAUUAGUCGGUGUUAAUAUACGACCCGACUAGCAGCUUCCGGGAAACCAAAGUUUUUCGUUUCCGGGGGAAGUAUGGUUGCAAAGCUGAAACUUAAAGGAAUUGACGGAAGGGCACCACCAGGAGUGGAGCCUGCGGCUUAAUUUGACUCAACACGGAAAAACUUACCCGGCCCGGACACUGGCAGGAUUGACAGAUUGAGAGCUCUUUCUUGAUUCAGUGGGUGGUGGUGCAUGGCCGUUCUUAGUUGGUGGAGCGAUUUGUCUGGUUAACUCCGAUAACGAACGAGACUCUAGCCUACUAAAUAGGCCACCGGCUUACUGACGUCGGUGGGACUUCUUAGAGGGACAGGCGGCGAUUCAGCCGCACGAAACAGAGCAAUAACAGGUCUGUGAUGCCCUUAGAUGUCCGGGGCUGCACGCGCGCUACACUGGAGGAAUCAGCGUGCUAUACCAUUGCCGAAAGGCAUUGGUAAACCGAUCAAAAUUCUCCGUGAUCGGGAUCGGGAAUUGAAAUUAUUUCCCUUGAACGAGGAAUUCCCAGUAAGUGUGGGUCAUCAGCUCACGCUGAUUACGUCCCUGCCCUUUGUACACACCGCCCGUCGCUGCCCGGGACUGAGCCGUUUCGAGAAAAGCGGGGACUGCUGUUGUCGGGUCUUUCGGGACUUGGCAUCGGUGGAAACCGCCUUAAUCGCAGUGGCUUGAACCGGGCAAAAGUCGUAACAAGGUUUCC
This 748-nucleotide ribosomal RNA is filed under the name uncultured eukaryote. Its description in RNAcentral is "bacterial SSU rRNA". It matches the Rfam family "Eukaryotic small subunit ribosomal RNA", at positions 1031 to 1804 of the family's 1831-position model. The record is from RNAcentral.